AGAGUUUGAUCCUGGCUCAGGAUGAACGCUGGCGGCGUGCCUAAUACAUGCAAGUCGAGCGAACGGACGAGAAGCUUGCUUCUCUGAUGUUAGCGGCGGACGGGUGAGUAACACGUGGAUAACCUACCUAUAAGACUGGGAUAACUUCGGGAAACCGGAGCUAAUACCGGAUAAUAUUUUGAACCGCAUGGUUCAAAAGUGAAAGACGGUCUUGCUGUCACUUAUAGAUGGAUUCGCGCUGCAUUAGCUAGUUGGUAAGGUAACGGCUUACCAAGGCAACGAUGCAUAGCCGACCUGAGAGGGUGAUCGGCCACACUGGAACUGAGACACGGUCCAGACUCCUACGGGAGGCAGCAGUAGGGAAUCUUCCGCAAUGGGCGAAAGCCUGACGGAGCAACGCCGCGUGAGUGAUGAAGGUCUUCGGAUCGUAAAACUCUGUUAUUAGGGAAGAACAUAUGUGUAAGUAACUGUGCACAUCUUGACGGUACCUAAUCAGAAAGCCACGGCUAACUACGUGCCAGCAGCCGCGGUAAUACGUAGGUGGCAAGCGUUAUCCGGAAUUAUUGGGCGUAAAGCGCGCGUAGGCGGUUUUUUAAGUCUGAUGUGAAAGCCCACGGCUCAACCGUGGAGGGUCAUUGGAAACUGGAAAACUUGAGUGCAGAAGAGGAAAGUGGAAUUCCAUGUGUAGCGGUGAAAUGCGCAGAGAUAUGGAGGAACACCAGUGGCGAAGGCGACUUUCUGGUCUGUAACUGACGCUGAUGUGCGAAAGCGUGGGGAUCAAACAGGAUUAGAUACCCUGGUAGUCCACGCCGUAAACGAUGAGUGCUAAGUGUUAGGGGGUUUCCGCCCCUUAGUGCUGCAGCUAACGCAUUAAGCACUCCGCCUGGGGAGUACGACCGCAAGGUUGAAACUCAAAGGAAUUGACGGGGACCCGCACAAGCGGUGGAGCAUGUGGUUUAAUUCGAAGCAACGCGAAGAACCUUACCAAAUCUUGACAUCCUUUGACAACUCUAGAGAUAGAGC
This 1023-nucleotide ribosomal RNA is filed under the name Staphylococcus aureus. RNAcentral's name for it is "bacterial SSU rRNA". It matches the Rfam family "Bacterial small subunit ribosomal RNA", at positions 8 to 1012 of the family's 1533-position model. The record is from RNAcentral. Lineage: Bacteria; Bacillati; Bacillota; Bacilli; Caryophanales; Staphylococcaceae.